This 870-nucleotide ribosomal RNA is filed under the name uncultured Neocallimastigales. RNAcentral's name for it is "partial large subunit ribosomal RNA". It matches the Rfam family "Eukaryotic large subunit ribosomal RNA", at positions 1 to 646 of the family's 3401-position model. The record is from RNAcentral. Lineage: Eukaryota; Fungi; Neocallimastigomycota; Neocallimastigomycetes; Neocallimastigales.
GUACACGCUGUGACUAGCAUAUCAAUAAGCGGAGGAAAAGCGCAUUAAAGAUCCAGAUACCUACGCUUAGGAUGUUGACGAGACUGUCGAUCUCAUCUAUACAUGACUCUGUGCAUAUCAAUAAGCGGAGGAAAAGAAACUAACAAGGAUUCCCCUAGUAACGGCGAGUGAAGCGGGAAGAGCUCAAAUUUGAAAUCUUAAAGGGUUUCCCUUUACGAAUUGUAGUUUAAAGAAGUGUUUUCUGUUGAGGUUUUGGUAAAUGUUCUUUGGAAUAGGACAUCAUAGAGGGUGAGAAUCCCGUAUUUGACCUUUACUUUCAACUUUGUGAUACACUUUCAAAGAGUCGGACUGUUUGGGAAUGCAGUCCAAAAUGGGUGGUAAAUUUCAUCUAAAGCUAAAUAUUGGCGAGAGACCGAUAGCGAACAAGUACCGUGAGGGAAAGAUGAAAAGAACUUUGAAAAGAGAGUUAAACAGUACGUGAAAUUGUCAAAAGGGAAGCGUUUGACACCAGUGUUGUUUUUCUGAAAAUCAAUUAAAGAACUGUUUAUGCUAAGUUGUUUAGACUUUAUCAGCUAACUGUUUAGUUUUGAGCUUUUCUUUAAUGCACUUUUCAGUUAACAAGUCAACAUCAAUUUCUUUUGCUGUAAAAAAGCUUGAGGAAGGUGGCUUGAGAUUCGUCUUAAGUGUUUAUAGCCUCUUGCCUAUGCAGUCGGAGAGAUUGAGGUCUGCAGCGUAGAUCCUUCGGGGCUAAAUGCAUUUGUGCUAAGUUAUAACAUUUUAUAGACAACUUGUUGACUAUGAUUUGUCUUGUAGCUUACUCGCUUAUGUUAUUUUACCUACGCUUAGGAUGUUGACGAGACUGUCGAUCUC